RNAcentral lists this long non-coding RNA (7282 nucleotides) under Gossypium barbadense (sea-island cotton). RNAcentral describes it as "long non-coding RNA (GBAR_LNC001620)". Lineage: Eukaryota; Viridiplantae; Streptophyta; Magnoliopsida; Malvales; Malvaceae. The record is from RNAcentral.
AACUUGAAAUUUGGGAUGGAUUACCCUACGGUAAUCCAUGAUUUUGUAAUGGUUGAUGCUAUUAAUUGAAGUUGGCCUUUUAGGUCUUUUUUCAAAAAAAAAAAACUAUGGCAUGAUUAACAUAUCAACAUGCCUAGAUAUGUUCAACACACAGACACAUAGCUUAGGUUACAACUCCAACAAUACAAUCUAUUCAAAAUCAACAAAAAUGAACACCACUAUCUACUUAUAAAUUAAGGUACAUGCCAACACAAAACUUAAUAUAAAAAAGGCAAUAAAAACAUCGUUGAGCUAAGAAAAGAGUCAUGGAUGUUUUGAUCAACACAACUCUACCAAACCUAUUUGUCACCUGCGCACAAAAAUAAACAAAUCCGCACUUAAUGGCGCUAACACAAUUUGUUAACAAUACAUAUACAUAUUAAAUAAGCAAACAUGCUAUAAUUUCAUUUGUAAUGAAAUCUAUAAUGAAGAUUACUAUCUCAUAAACUCAUUUCUUUAGUGCUCAUGAAAUCAUAGUUGGGUUUAUGUCUCGUAUAUUAACAUAUUGAUAUGUCCACAGUGCUUUCCAUUUCAAUCUCAAUUAUCAAAAACUUGUUUCAUUUCAUAUAUGAAUUUCAUUCUCAAUCAUAUGGCAUUUUCAUAUCUUAAUCAUACAUCACUAUGUACUUUAUCCACAUUACAUUGAUGUUUUGGCCCUUAUUAAUUGAAUUCGAACUAAAGGAUGAGUAUACAGAUCACUAUAUCGGUAUAUGCUCACGGACACCUAGUUCUCAGAAGCUAGUGAUAUGUUCUCAAGGGCACUUUGCGCUCUGGAGAACUAUCUGAUGUAAUGCAUCUAAUACUAAAAUGGUAAGUUCUUGACCCCCAAGGCUAUAAAGAACUACCGAAAUGAUAUGCUCUCGACACUAAAGAUAACUUCAACAUAAAAGAUCCUAUGGCACGCCAACUAUACCUAUAACUCCAUCCGAGACCGUUUAAUAGAGCAUUCAUAAUGUUUAAUAUGAAUGGAUUCAUAUAACAUUCAUUUCCUUUGUCAUCCUUUCAUAAUUUUUCAUUGUGUCACAAACAUGAACAUACAUAUUCGUAUAUACAAUAGUUCAACAAGUCAUCAAGUCACAAGUUAACUUACCUUUUAUAAAACAAAGCAUUAAGAUUACCUUAUUCAAUUUACUACUUAAUAAGCUAUGAAUUGAGCACAAAUUAUAAAAGCACAAAUCAGAAUUGCUAAUUGUUCAUCGCCUUCUUUCUUCUUUUCACCUUCAAGGUUCUGAAAUCGUCUUUAGCUUGUACUUAUGGGACGACAUUGGAGGAUGUAAAAACUAAAUUUCUUUCUUUCUUUUUUUCUUUGUUAGGGAUGGCUAGAGGAAGAUGAAAAUUAUGGCUUAUACUUCUCUCUUCCACUAACAUGCUAUAUAUACAUGUAAUUAGCAUAUAAUUUAAGCUUAAUUAAUCAAAAUACAAGGGCUUUAAAUCUAUAUCACCUAAGUAAGUGGAAUUUGAUGGCAAUGAUGAAGCUUAGACACUAAUUAAACUUCAAUUAUGGCAAUAUUACAAUUAAGGCCUUGAUUUUAUUACCACUUAAGGGCUUUCUCAAAUCUUAAUAAAUUCUCUCUAUAUAACUCACUUUCCAAUUUGGUCCCUGUGUUAUAAUUAGUAACUUUUCUCAUUUAAUCAUUUAAUAAAUAGAUUCUAUAAUUUUGUGUAAGACAUGUAAAUCUUUCGAUUAAAAAUUCCCAACUGACCCAUUUUACGAAAUUUGAUUUCAAAAUUGUAUUGUUUAACAUUGACUAAAAUCGAGUCGUUACAAAAGCUCAACAUCUAAAAUAAGAUAAAAGCCUCAUAAGUAUCAAAAAUACCAAAACAAAGUGUCAGAAAAUUAAUAGAAAGUGCAAAUGACAUUACAAAAGUAAAAGGCCAACUAAGACUCUUGAGAAUGAUGAUGCUCGUCCCUAAGAAAUGCUCAUGAAACUCAUGAACUUACACACAAAACACAAAUCCGCAUGUUGAGCUUUUCCAUUAAGCUUAGUGGUGCAUAUCCAAUUUCUAAAUAACUUUAUGAUUAAGCUAAAUUGAAAGCGUAAUAAACAAAUAUUAAUAGACAAUAUCAUAGCAUUCUUGAACAUAAAAGAAAAGCCAUUUAAAAUAUCAUGACAUCAAUCAUAUAUAUUAAAACCAUAGUAUUUUCACCUUCUACUAAAAAUGUAAUAUCUCAAAAUUUAUGAUAAGACACGUGCACUAUUCCAAAAUUAGAAAUAGUGAAAUUGCAAGAAAAUUUGAAAAAUAGUCAAAUAAAGAAUUCUUAUAAUAACAAAAUUGAUUUUGAAGAUGUAAAUUAAUGAAAAGAUUUUUAGAAGUGAGAAUGUGGCAAAAAGGACUAAAUCACACAUUUGGAAAAGUUUGAGGACUAAAGUGCAAUGUACCCACAAAGAAAAAAAAUAUAGUACUACAUAUUAUUUAACAUGGAAAUAGUUUGGAAAAUUUAUUAGAAUAAUGGAAAUCGCUUUUGGGAUCGAAUUGAAAAUAUUUGAUAGUAUAAACACUAAAUUACAAAUUUUCCAUCUUUACUGAAAAAAGAGCGAAUGUGUAUUUUUUUCCACCUAUAGAAUAAUAAUAAAGUUUUAUUACAAUUUAUGAGAUUUACUUAGACAAAAUACUUAAUUUUAUGAAGAAAUUGUGUCAAGUAGUAAAAAAUGGAAAAAUCAUAAUUUACCAUGAAAGGGUAUUUUGUUAGUUCUUGAAGAUUUUAUAAUGGGGACGUUAUUUAAAUGAGAUAUUCGAUAAUUAGAAUUAUUAUGGAUCAUUUAGUUAUCGUGUUAAAGAACCAGAUCAUGACUUAUCAAAUUUUGGACUUAAACUUUAGAAAUGGGCCUUGGCCCAUUUGAUGAGUAUUUUAAAAGAAUGAAAAAAAAUAGAGAAUCCACCAUUUCCCCCCUUGGUCAAUAGCAUCCAUAGAGAAGGUGAGAAAGCUUCCCCAGCCUGUUUUCUUUUUCUUUUUCGUUUCUCAUCACCCACCUUGAUUUUCUUGCUCAAAUCACUUAGAAAUUAAACUCCAUGAUAGUUUUAUACUAUAGUUUCCUCCAUUUUUAGCUAGGUUUCCUGAUGGUUUUAGUGGGAGAAACUAUGGCUAGUGAGAGAAAGCUCCAUUAAGGUAAUAUAUGGUGUUUUUUAUCCUCCCUAACUUGAUAUUUGUUAUGGAUUGUUAUGAGAAAGUUUUUGUGUUAAUUUUAGUUAUAUUUUUGUGUGUAUGGAAAAUGAGGAAAUCUCAUGAAAUGAGGUUUCAAGCUUAAUUGAGGAUGGAUUCAAGCUUAUGAAGGCAUGAUUUUAUGUUGGCAUACAAAAAGGUAAGUAUCCUUGGAUACCCUUACCUAUCUUAAUAAGUUUAAAGAAAAUUUAUGAAUAUGAAAAUGAUAUUGAAAUGUAUUAAAUGUUAGAAAUAAGUAACUUGGAAUAUUAAUGCUUAAUAAGCCUAGAAUAUACGACAUUUUAAAUUCAUAGUAAAAUGUCAUGAGAAUUUGGUUGCCAUGGAAUGCCUAAUGAAUAUGUUAUUGUACAAAGGUGAGAAUAGGGAAAAAAUUGACAUUAAAAAAAUGUAUUAAUAUGUCAUGAUGAAAAAGUUGUGAUUGACUUGAAAAUUUUAAAGGUUGUUAAUGGAAUCAAUCUAUUAUUAUAAAUAUGAACUUGAAAUGUGAAGAAAUAUGUAUGUGGUCACGAAAAUAUAAAUUUUUCUAUAUAUAGACAUAAAAUAUCAUAAUGACUAUGAUAAUAGUAAAGAACACAUGAAUUUGUUACUUCUAAUUUAUGGAAACCAUAGUAUAAAAGAUUAGAACAUGAUUAUAAGACUUAUGUGAUUUGCAUGUAUAUGUGUGAGAAUUUAGGCGCCUAGAUGUGGAGAUAGGCAAAGAAUAGAUUAACUAUGCUUUUUCUAUUUGAAAAAUAGAUACAUUAAUGGAUUAGAUGGAUAUAUGAUAUGUGUAAUGAUUAUAACAUGCCCUAGUAAAAUUAGUGAAAUGUUAGGAUACAGUUGGCAUGGAAAUUAGGGUUUAUAGUGUGUUUGAAGUUCUAUCAGAAGUUUUGCACUUGUGUGCACUUUACGUCACCUUCGAGCCUUGCACUUACGUGCACCUUGGUGUAGUGUAGUUUAUGCUCUCACGAGCCUUUUUGGUGUGGUGGAGGGAUGUAUUACGUUGCCUUAUGAUUCAGCAUUUUGGUUCUCUUUAGUGUGGUGGAGGAGUCAUGUGUAUUCGAGUUGUUUUACUAGAAUUUACUAAGGGCAUAAAUGAACUAAAAUCUUGAUAAUGAACUUGCUCAUGAAUAUUAAUCACUAUAUGUAAACUUCUCAAUAUGAAACAAAGGGAUUAGUCUAAAUGAGAUGAAAAAAGAAAGAGCAAAUGAUAAGUAAACUAAUAAAAAUUUAAUAGGAUAAUAUGCUUUAAAAAUGUGUAGCCUACUGAACUUGCCUUAAGCUAUAUUUAAAGAAAUCGAUGAAUCAUGUAUAACUCUAAUAAAAGAAAUGAAAAUGAAAUGUAUGAUUCAUAUAGGAAACAAAUGCCAUAAAUGAGAAUCAGGUAUGAACAUGUCAAGAAACUAUGAACUCUCCAUAAUAGUCUUGAAUAGGAAUUUUAUAAUACAGAUUGGUGAACAAACCAUCCAUAUAUUAAUUGAGCCCUUCCAUUCUGGUAUACUGAAACGAAUCAAGGAGUAGUAUUAAAAUGUUGCUUAAAUGAAAUUAGAAUGGCAUACAUAGUAAAGGCUCAAACUUGAUAAGAAAUAGGAUAGGUUUAUCCUUCAAUACUUGUUAAGCUCUUCAAGAUCACGCAUUAGUUGUCUUGAACAUGUAGGUAUUGGAUUUGUCGAGAAGUUUAAGGUUCUAGAUUGUGAGCUUCACAUCAAAAUUCAUUUUAAGGUUGUAUAUCAUUUUUAUUUUGGACUUCUUUGAUAUUAUAGAUUGGUAUGUACAUAAGGUUUUAGUUUGAAUAGUGGAUUUGUAAACUUGAAUUGUAAUUUAAGUAAUUUUGGUGUUUCUAAAUCAAGUUUUAUUUUGUUAUUUGGUUUGAAUGUUUUUAUGUCUUAUAUUCGCAUUUAAAUUAGUUUAGAAAUGGAAUUAUAAUGUUUUGAAAUUCAUUAAUAUAUUAUGGUAAUGUCUUGGGAUGUUUUAGAGAGAUUUAGGACAAAUUUUUAGCUCUAAGGCCUCAAUAUUGGUACUUGGUCUCUAUGGUAUCACAAGUCAAACAAAAUACAAAUUUCUAUAGUUCUAAGGACUUAAAUUGGCACAACUAGGGAAUUGUGUUGUAACCAUAGUGCAUGGCCCGAGCCACAACACUGUUUUAAAUUGAUGUGCUUUUUCAACGUUUGUUUUAGGUCCCGAGCACCUCCAAUAACCCUUGAACCACUUCAAAUGAUUUUAAAUUGAUUAUAAAUUCCCUAAACCAUAUCAUCUUAUUUCUAUGAUUUUAUUUAAGUUUUUUUAAAAUUUUAAAUUAUAGUAAAACUCUUAUUUUUCUCAUCUUGAUUAAUCUUUAAGCAAAAGAGUUUGGAACACUCGCUUUAUGGUUUGGCAAUAUCCCUAUAUAUAUUAAAUGACCCAAAAUGAUUUCUAAUCAUAUUUGAGUCUUCCUAAAAUUUGUCAAUUUGAUUUAAAGAACAUUAAUAUGUUGUGAAACAAAUGUUUCUACAAAUGAAAACUUUUGGUUUAAAUUAGAAAGUUUUCGAUAACAUCUCUCAUUCAUACCAUAUGUUGAGGCGAGUGAGGGGUGUUACAAAAAAGUGCUAUAGCAUAUUUAAUAGCAAUGCACAACUCAAGCCAACAUGAUAAUCCACCAACAAAUUCACAUCUCAAGCAACAUUAAUAUUUCUUAUAAGCAUUGCCCUUAUUGAUCAAACCUAGAAUAGUAAACGAGUAAAUGUAUAUCCAUCUGAAUCCUUGAAAUGUAGUGCAUAAGCACAAUAGGGUACACAAUAUAACAAAUAUCUAGUGUGUGUAUAACAUGACUUAACCAAUUGCUCCUCAAGAAUUGUGUAGAGUGCCACAAAACAAAUCUACCAAACACGUUAGACUAACCUAUAAACACAAAAUCUUUGAAAAACUCUAUGUAUAUAUAAUUACAUGUCAACUAUACUCGGAGUCUAUCGAAUUUUGUUAUAAGAUCAUUUCACAAUUAAAACAUGUAAUUUCAACAUAAUCAUACACCAAAACAUACCAACGAAUCAACAACGUCAUUCUCAAAUCGUAUCUCAAUAAAGCAUCUCAAGAAUCAACAUUCACAUAAUUGUCUUAGAUUCAACUUGAAAUUCAUAUGUAGCAUAUUGCUCACCAAUUAGACAUUUAAAACUAAUACCAUAAAAAUAGUCCCUAGCAAUUUAGACAAAAACAUAAAGUAAAUUAAAAUUAGAAUGCAUAAACAGAAACCAGCUACUCUUCCAACACUUUCUCCUUCCCUUUCACCAUCAAACUUUCACCAAAUUCUUUAGCUUCAAAUUCAUCACCAAAUAAAAAUAAAAAUUUAGAUUAACAAACACACCAUAAUAAUAAAACCCUAAAUUUAUUGAAAUGAUACAAUUCAAGGAAGCAAGACAUUAAUUUCACUUUUUAGACCACUUAAGAAAACUCUCCCAAACUUAGCUCUAACUUCUCCUAAUCUGAAAUCUAAUGGUAUAAUUAGUAUUUAUAGCUUAAAAACAUUCUAAACCUUACCUAAAACCAUCAAAACCAAGCAAAAUCCCUAACUUACCUUCUCACUUAAGAACUCAUCCAUAACGCAGGAACUUAGUCAAAUCCUCACCAAAGCUAAAAUUUCCCAUUCUAAUGAUUAUUUAAACAUGUAAAAACCAAGGAUAUAACAAGAAACCACUAGCAAAGACACAAAAUCAAACUCUCUCUAGGAUGCAUUUAACGUGAAAAUGGAGAAUAAGAAGAUGUUCCAAACUUUCAAAAUUUUGUUUUGUAGUAAUUUAAAAGGAUUUGUAAUCUUGAAAAACAUUAGAUCUCUUUUUAAAUUUUUAAUAUAAUCAUCAAAAAUCAAAAUCUCCUCCAAACUUGGAGAUUAAUAUGGAACAUAGUAAAGAGAAGGAAAAUGUUAAAAUCGAGCCUAGAAAAUUGAAAAGAUGAAGAAAAUAAUUUGAAACUCAUGAUUACCUUGCUGAAAUUGUUUGAUUGAAAUCAAGAAUUGAAGACUGAAGGAAAGAAAAAUGGAAAGAAUGUUGAGAGAAUUUUAAUCGGUUUGUUUGGAAUGGAGAAUUAAGUAAUCGUUCUCUCCAUUCGCUUUUACUAAAUGGUCUAUUUACU